GGGGCUAAUACCGGAUGUGGUCUUUUUAACUCAUGUUAUUAAGAUUAAAGGUGACCUCUUCUUGAAAGUUAUUGUUUAGAGAUGGACUUGCGGACCAUUAGUUUGUUGGCGGGGUAACGGCCCACCAAGACUGCGAUGGUUAGCCGGCCUGAGAGGGCGAUCGGCCACAUUGGGACUGAGAUACGGCCCAGACUCCUACGGGAGGCAGCAGUAGGGAAUUUUGCGCAAUGGAGGAAACUCUGACGCAGCAACGCCGCGUGAGUGAUGAAGGUUUUCGGAUUGUAAAACUCUGUUGAGUGGGAAGAAACACGUUAAGUAUAAUACGCUUAGCGUCUGACGGUACCAUUCGAGGAAGCUCCGGCUAAAUACGUGCCAGCAGCCGCGGUAAUACGUAUGGAGCGAGCGUUGUUCGGAAUUACUGGGCGUAAAGGGAGCGUAGGCGGAAAGGUAAGUUAGAAGUGUAAUCCACAGGCUUAACCUGUGGCUUGCUUUUAAUACUGCUUUUCUUGAGUAGUGGAGAGGAAGACGGAAUUCCAGGUGUAGCGGUGGAAUGCGUAGAUAUCUGGAAGAACACCAGUUGCGAAGGCGGUCUUCUGGCCACAUACUGACGCUGAGGCUCGAAAGCGUGGGGAGCGAACAGGAUUAGAUACCCUGGUAGUCCACGCCGUAAACGAUGGACACUAGAUGUCGGGAGGCUUGUCUUUUCGGUGUCGUAGCUAACGCGUUAAGUGUCCCGCCUGGGGAGUACGCCCGCAAGGGUGAAACUCAAAGGAAUUGACGGGGGCCCGCACAAGCGGUGGAGCAUGUGCUUUAAUUCGAUGCAACGCGAAGAACCUUACCUGGAUUUGACAUGGGAGUGAAAGGUUUCAGAGAUGAAACUCCUUCCUUCGGGAACACUCUGCACAGGUGCUGCAUGGUUGUCGUCAGCUCGUGUCGUGAGAUGUUGGGUUAAGUCCCGCAACGAGCGCAACCCUCGUCCUUAGUUGCCAUCAGGUAACGCUGGGAACUCUAAGGAGACUGCCUGGAUCAACCAGGAGGAAGGUGGGGAUGACGUCAAAUCCUCAUGGCCCUUACGUCCAGGGCUA
Molecule: ribosomal RNA, 1085 nt
Filed under: uncultured Chitinivibrionia bacterium
Lineage: Bacteria; Pseudomonadati; Fibrobacterota; Chitinivibrionia
Description: bacterial SSU rRNA
Rfam family: Bacterial small subunit ribosomal RNA
Source: RNAcentral